Molecule: long non-coding RNA, 4492 nt
Organism: Marmota monax (woodchuck)
Lineage: Eukaryota; Metazoa; Chordata; Mammalia; Rodentia; Sciuridae
Exons: 3
Source: RefSeq, a predicted model, not a curated record
UGAACAGAGGCCGGGGACACACUUACACGGUGCCUCUGAGAGCCUGGCCCUGGGUGGGGGGUACUCAGGAGCUCUACGUGCCUGCAGGUAGCGCCAGUUCUGCGCUGACCCGACCUGCGCAGAGAGAGGCCAGGCUGCCCAAGUGGUGCUCCAAGUGGCUUUCGGCCUCUCCUGGCCCCAGCAAGUGACCUGAGGCCUGUUUACCUUUUGGUGAUGGAAGACCAGAGCACACGCCUCGACAUGCAACCACGAGGCAAGUCCCAGUAACAUCUUUUGGGCAAAUCAAGUCACUCAGUCAAAUCAAGUCACUCUGGGCAGAAAAUCAAGGACAGGGGAAAGUACACACUGCCUUCUGCGUGGAGGUAACUGCAAGUGGAGCUGUACAUUUGGAACCAUAGUGUGGCCUUCUUGGAGGACUUCUCUUUGGAAAGGUGUGGUGGAUGUUUCUGCUGCAGCUGUAGCAUGAGAUUAGGACCAGCUUCUAUAUUAAUUUCUUGGAUUGGAUUUUUCUGCAUUAAUCAGGUAGCACAGAGUAUAUUCAUUAGGCUUGAGUGAGGUCCAAAUAGUGAUUCUGAAUUCUCGGGGGAGAUUAUGUUUCCCUAUUCAGAAUCCAAUGUGAGACAGACAACAAUCUUUACCCAAUAAACUCUCCGUGGCUCAGGAAAAUUUAAAAAAACCACACAGCCCUGUGACUUGAGCACUGGACCCCAUGACAAAAGAAGUGGACAUUGGAAUCCAAGGAUGGACCCCAUGACUGGGACUUUGGAGUGUCUCAUUCGAGAAAUGGGGCAGGAGAGAAUCUAGAAAUGAAGUCAGGACGUCAGACAGUAGAGGCCACGUGGCAGGUGAAAGGGAAAGGGAGGUUCUGGGGUAAAUUUUGUGUAUUCUGGGCACUCGGAUCAACAUGCCAUUGAAAUCAUCUUGACACUUAGUUUGAGCCCUUCUCUGGACCAGGGGAGGUCCCCUUAAUGGCACAGAACCUGGCCAGUCUCAUUGGCCACAUUUUGGAUGAUGCAACUUGUCUUUAGUACCAUCCUGUUUUGCUAUCCCACUUUCUACAGCCUCUCGGACAAGUGUCUCAUCCUCAAGCACCUGUGAAGGAAUGGAUGAUGAGGUCAAUAAGAAAAUUAAUAAAACUACCCGGAAGGUGGCCUUAGGGAAGUUGAGGCCCCGUGGGACAUUGCUUCUCAGUUUCAGCUUAUUUCUGUGAAGUGGAAAUGCGCAACCUGGACCGGGAUUUUGGAUUUUUAAAAGAAAACAUAAAAUUUUGGCAACUCAUUCAAUUAUUAAAAUGUGCUGUGCUAACCACAAACACAGCUGUGGUGCACAUAUGGCUUGCAGGCUGCCGGAUUGCAAUCUCUACUUUGAACGGCCUUCCAGAACCUUCCAGGAGCCUGUGUCCCCUCUUUCCGAGCGGUUCCCACCUUCCAGGCCUACCUGUCAAACAGAAUGUCUUCGCUUUCAGAAUCAUCUGUGUUCUUAAUUCUUCACUAAAUACCCCGUUCUUUGAGUGAGCGUGUUUGAACAAAUUUGCACUAAUGUGGGAUUGAAGGAUGUCCCUCCUGCAUGUUGGACUGAGUCGCAUUGCGGAGCCCCGGAGCAGCAUGCCUGGCCGACAGGCUGUGCGGGCUGUGCUGCCAGAUGUUCAUGACCCUGGCUCUCCACUUACCUGCUGAGAAAUUGUCUCCAAGAGAAUCAGCUCCAAAAGGCCUCAGCUCUCUCAGCGCUGCUAUUCUUCUCUGUUGAGUCAAGCUCUGUCAGUGUUGCUGAAAGGCUAUUUUAAAGUAUGUCACAUACUGGAUGCUUAUUUUCGUCCAGAGUAUGAGAAUUCUGCAGUUGUAAGAGCCCUGGAAAUCUCCUAAGUCAAGCCCUCCACUGGGUGGAUUUUGUAGACAGGAGAGAUUUUGGUUCAAAGGACCUGUCCGAGGCCUGGCUAGCCACACUGGAAUGUCUGCAAACUUUAUUUGUAAUGAUAAAUUUUGUUGCAGAUGUGACUUUAAUCUCCCAAAGCUUAUCCACCCGGCAUUGUGAAUUAAUCAUUAAAGCAAAUUAUCGCUCCUGAGUCUAUCAGGGUGGGGUAGUGGGGAAGAGACCCAAGGUCUUGCAGCGGUCAUGUAUUAUCUGCCUGCGGUUCUCUAAGUUUCAGUCAGGCAUCAGGAAACGACACAGUCAGAUCUGCUUUGUGGUGAGAGUUUUAUUCUGAGUGUUAUUAGCGUGGUGUGAACAUGAGCCCAUCUCUUGGAAAAAUUCAUACUGGCCCAAGUUGUCUGUUCCUGACUAGUGGAAGGCUGGUUUCUUCUUCCUGUGAAUCCCCUUCCCAAAUGGUUGAAGAACCUGAGGGUUACAGAGUCCUAAGGCGGGGGUGGGCAGGGGGUUUAGUAGCAAAGCCAAAGCUGAAUCAGCCCACUGUGCCCACAGCUCCACGGAGCUUCACAGUGUCCCUGUCAGUCACCUCUAAGUGCUCCAGAGACCUUCUAUGAUUUGAAAAAGGAUGGCCCUUGAGGUAGACAGGGCUCUGUGGCCUCCCGUAGGCACGUGAAACCCGGACUAGACUUUGCCCUCACUUGCUUCUUUGAGCUAAAGUCCCUGCCCCAUGGCGGUGUUGGCCCUGGUGUAGCAGGACACCUGCUCCCACACUUUCUGACUUGGGGGGGUGCUGGUCUCAUGUCCCUGGUAGUUAUCAUGGGUCUCUGAGGGGGAUCGGCUCCCUUACUUGGGCUCCCAGGUCAUGGCUCUUACAUGUCACCUCUCAGCUCUUUUGUUGCCAUCUCAGGAGGCGAAAGCCCCUCAGGGGACGCCCACCUGGUCUCUGCCUCCUCCCUGAGGACCUCACACUCCACCCUCAGAACAGAGGGUUUGAGUUCUCACUCUGCAGAGCUGGGAGAGAGACCCUCCUCGUAAGGCCCUGAAUGCCUACAGGGAGGCUCACAGCCUCCAGGAUCCUAGCGUCCCUCGGGUGACUCACCCUCCUGAAGUCAGCACAAAGAACUUUCUAGAGCAUGCUGUGAUGGAGAAAACAAAAACAAAAACAAAAACAGUGCAAGUAAAAGUCCCCUGGAGAUUCUCGACACACGCUGGUGGAGUGUUGUAUUACGACCUGUUCUCUUUUUGGUCUCCACUUAACACUACUCAUCAGAUUGCAUGUGAAAUAGGCUGGUGGCCUCAGCAAGAACUGCAGAGGGUCAGGACUUUCAGGAAACUCACUGAGCCUUUUUUGGACCCUUGGCUCUGGCUUCACUUGCAAAUGAAAUUCUGGGUGCUGACUCACCCUCUGAAUGUCACUCUGGUAGCCGAAACCCUCAGCUGGCCUCCCUUGUGACUUGGAGGAACAGAUGCUGAGAAGCAGGGGCCCAGGCUGGGCUCAGGGGCUGGACUGCUGACCUGGAAGCCAGGCCUUUCGCGCGUGACCACUUUCUUCCCAUUUGAACUCAGCAGUUGUGGGGUCAGAAGUCCUCGUGCUAGAAUCCACGCAGCUGCGGGACACAGGGUGGACUACAAUGAACAAUGAAGGUUUCCUUUCUUUAUUUCGAAUUCUGAAAAGGCUGACCAAUGUCUUUAAAAUUAUCCCAGCUCACGGAAAUCAGGUCAAGGAUUAAGGGAAAACGCCAGCAAACAAAAAUCAAUAAAUCAUUAACGUGAGGAACACGCCUUCCAGGCCCGUUGGCUGGCUGAUUUGCCAAGAGACAGAAGGGUCAGUGACUUCUCAGAAGUGACAUCAUAACCAUGAUGUCCCUAAGAGUGAAUGCAUUAAUUUCGCGUGUGCUGCUCAUGAAGGGCUGAGAGCGAUGCUAUGUCGCCCCCUAGUGGUAAGUGCAAGUUAUGCACAAAUGGGCUCCGCGAUUGCCUUGGCAGCCUCCAGAUGAGGUGAGGCCUUUAGAUGAAAACUGACCUCAACAAAUGACGCAUGACAGGUAUUAAAAUAGAACUACUCCAAAACCUUCCCUGCCUUCUGUUUUAGUUUUUAAAAUUUUCGUCUUGAAAUUUUAUUAAAAUGUAUUUGAAAGGAAAACUAGUAACAAUGUAUACCGGCUGUACUACACAAGUGGAAGUCCAAUUAUUGACAAGCUUAGCACAAAGGACAGGGUAUGGAGAUUGAAUUAUAUUGUCAUGAGCAUUCAUUAUACAUUUCGGAAAAGCAUAUCUAAGUGGGAAUGUCUAAAAAAUAUUACUAUUAGGAAAUAUACCUUUUAAUUUUGUCUUAUUUUGUUUUCCCCCAGCUUUAAUUAACAUAUAAUUAAAAAAUUAAAAUUGUAUAUAUUUAUGGUGUUCAAUCUGAUCUUUUGAUACAUGUGCACAUUGUAAAUUGAUUAAAUCAAGGUAAUUAACAUUCACCAUCUCACAUACUUUUAAAAUGUGAGAACAUGUACAGUCUAGCCUCUUAGCUAUUUGUAUGUGUACAGUGGUGUUGACCCUUGGUGUCCACAGGUUCCACAUCCAUGGAUUCAAGCAACUGAGGACUGAGGAGGCAGGUAGUGUGUGUGUUGAAUUUGUA